UACGGAGGGUGCAAGCGUUGUUCGGAUUUACUGGGCGUAAAGCGCGCGCAGGCGGGUUGGCAAGUCGGAAGUGAAAUCCCAGGGCUCAACCCUGGGGCUGCUCCCGAAACUGUUCGCCUAGGGACUGGUAGAGGCUGGUAGAAUUCCCGGUGUAGCGGUGGAAUGCGUAGAGAUCGGGAAGAAUACCUGUGGCGAAGGCGGCCAGCUGGGCCAGGUCCGACGCUGAGGCGCGAAAGCGUGGGGAGCAAACAGG
This 253-nucleotide ribosomal RNA is filed under the name uncultured bacterium. Its description in RNAcentral is "partial 16S ribosomal RNA". It matches the Rfam family "Bacterial small subunit ribosomal RNA", at positions 524 to 776 of the family's 1533-position model. The record is from RNAcentral.